GACGAACGCUGGCGGCGUGCUUAACACAUGCAAGUCGAACGGAAAGGCCCUGCUUUUGUGGGGUGCUCGAGUGGCGAACGGGUGAGUAACACGUGAGUAACCUGCCCUUGACUUUGGGAUAACUUCAGGAAACUGGGGCUAAUACCGGAUAGGAGCUCCUGCUGCAUGGUGGGGGUUGGAAAGUUUCGGUGGUUGGGGAUGGACUCGCGGCUUAUCAGCUUGUUGGUGGGGUAGUGGCUUACCAAGGCUUUGACGGGUAGCCGGCCUGAGAGGGUGACCGGCCACAUUGGGACUGAGAUACGGCCCAGACUCCUACGGGAGGCAGCAGUGGGGAAUAUUGCACAAUGGGCGGAAGCCUGAUGCAGCAACGCCGCGUGCGGGAUGACGGCCUUCGGGCUGUAAACCGCUUUCGCCUGUGACGAAGCGUGAGUGACGGUAAUGGGUAAAGAAGCACCGGCUAACUACGUG
RNAcentral lists this ribosomal RNA (468 nucleotides) under uncultured bacterium. RNAcentral's name for it is "partial 16S ribosomal RNA". It matches the Rfam family "Bacterial small subunit ribosomal RNA", at positions 28 to 507 of the family's 1533-position model. The record is from RNAcentral.